AGCGAACGCUGGCGGCAGGCUUAACACAUGCCAGUCGAGCGGGCAUCCUUGUGGUGUCAGCGGCAGACGGGUGAGUAACGCGUGGGAACGUGCCCUUCGGUUCGGAAUAACUCAGGGAAACUUGAGCUAAUACCGGAUACGCCCUUUUGGGGAAAGGUUUACUGCCGAAGGAUCGGCCCGCGUCUGAUUAGCUAGUUGGUGAGGUUAUGGCUCACCAAGGCGACGAUCAGUAGCUGGGCUGAGAGGAUGAUCAGCCACACUGGGACUGAGACACGGCCCAGACUCGUACGGGAGGCAGCAGUGGGGAAUAUUGGACGAUGGGGGCAACCCUGAUCCAGCCAUGCCGCGUGAGUGAUGACGGCCUUAGGGUUGUAAAGCUCUUUUCUCCGGGACGAUAAUGACGGUACCGGAGGAAUAAGCCCCGGCUAACUUCGUG
Molecule: ribosomal RNA, 436 nt
Filed under: uncultured bacterium
Lineage: Bacteria
Description: partial 16S ribosomal RNA
Rfam family: Bacterial small subunit ribosomal RNA
Source: RNAcentral